Long non-coding RNA from Anolis carolinensis (green anole), 759 nucleotides. RefSeq lists it as uncharacterized. The transcript has 2 exons. The record is from RefSeq and is a predicted model, not a curated record. Lineage: Eukaryota; Metazoa; Chordata; Lepidosauria; Squamata; Anolidae.
UGCAGGCAGUUGUGUUGACCUGUCUAGCUACCAUUUCUUUCUGUUUCUGCAGUUCUCAUCUUCCUUGGUAGCAGGUCUUUGGUAAGGAUAAUGAUUUCUUGGCCUCACAAAAUCAAGCCACUGCUAAAUACUUUGCAUUACAGAAAGGAUAUUAUCCCAUUAUAUUACGUUGUUGCUGGAAUUUUUUAUUUCCCUUCCAGGAACCAUGGAAAAUCACAACAGAAGAGAUGUCAUCAAAAAGUCUCAGAUCUUUAACCCUGCAAGUCCUGCUUCCAGUAUAACUCUUCUCCUCUUCCUGCACCCAACCAGGUUGAGGGCAAAGUAUAUUUGCACUCUGAACUCAGUUUGCAGCCAUUGAGGUAAGGUGAGGAGAAAGGAGGAAGGUGGGAAGAGGAGAAAGAAACUAAGCCAUUUGAAAGCAACUGAAAAGCACAUAUGAAGAAAAACCAAAUUCCUUCCCACUGGCAUCAUUUGAGAAUGACAUCACUGAAACCAAGGGACGUGGGUGAGAUUUAUGCCAAUGACAAUUUCUGGCCAUACAGGACUUCAUAACUCUUUUUUUGUGUGGAUCUGAUUGUCGUUCAACUGCUGUUUUUCCCCACUGGACUGCAGAUGGGAUAUCGUCUCAAACGUCUCAAGUGUGAUUGAUUGUAAUGGGAAUAGCACAUGUACACUGGUUCUUUGUCCUCUCUAUGACUUGUUUUGUCAAUUCCUGUGGCCAUUGAUAUUUGGGAAAGAAAACUAUUCAAUUCAAUGGAA